Molecule: ribosomal RNA, 442 nt
Filed under: uncultured bacterium
Lineage: Bacteria
Description: partial 16S ribosomal RNA
Rfam family: Bacterial small subunit ribosomal RNA
Source: RNAcentral
CCUACGGGAGGCAGCAGUAGGGAAUCUUUCACAAUGGGCGAAAGCCUGAUGGAGCAACGCCGCGUGCAGGAUGAAGGCCUUCGGGUUGUAAACUGCUUUUAUAAGCGAGAAAUAUGAUGGUAACUUAUGAAUAAGGAUCGGCUAACUACGUGCCAGCAGCCGCGGUCAUACGUAGGAUACGAGCAUUAUCCGGAGUGACUGGGUGUAAAGAGUUGCGUAGGUGUCAUAAUAAGUAGCUAGUGAAAUCUGGUGGCUCAACCAUUCAGACUAUUAGCUAAACUGUUAAGCUCGAGACCGUUAGGGGUAACUGGAAUUUCUAGUGUAGGAGUGAAAUCCGUAGAUAUUAGAAGGAACACCAAUAGCGUAGGCAGGUUGCUGGGACGGUUCUGACACUAAGGCACGAAAGCGUAGGGAGCAAACGGGAUUAGAUACCCCUGUAGUC